Molecule: ribosomal RNA, 454 nt
Filed under: uncultured bacterium
Lineage: Bacteria
Description: partial 16S ribosomal RNA
Rfam family: Bacterial small subunit ribosomal RNA
Source: RNAcentral
GAUGAACGCUGACAGAAUGCUUAACACAUGCAAGUCUACUUGAACUUCGGUUUGGGUGGCGGACGGGUGAGUAACGCGUAAAGAACUUGCCUCACAGAUAGGGACAACAUUUGGAAACGAAUGCUAAUACCUGAUAUUAUGAUUUUAGGGCAUCCUAGAAUUAUGAAAGCUAUAUGCACUGUGAGAGAGCUUUGCGUCCCAUUAGCUAGUUGGAGAGGUAACGGCUCACCAAGGCGAUGAUGGGUAGCCGGCCUGAGAGGGUGAUCGGCCACAAGGGGACUGAGACACGGCCCUUACUCCUACGGGAGGCAGCAGUGGGGAAUAUUGGACAAUGGACCAAGAGUCUGAUCCAGCAAUUCUGUGCGCACGAUGAAGUUUUUCGGAAUGUAAAGUGCUUUCAGUUGGGAAGAAAAAAAUGACGGUACCAACAGAAGAAGUGACGGCUAAAUACGUG